AGCUCCAAUAGCGUAUAUUAAAGUUGUUGCAGUUAAAAAGCUCGUAGUUGGAUUUCUGGUGGGAGCGUUGGGCCGGCCCUAAGGGCCUGAGCUCAAAUGUUUUCCGCCAUCCUUGGAGGGAUGUUGUCUGGCAUUAAGUUGUCGGGCUUCCGAUCUCCAUCGUUUACUGUGAAAAAAUUAGAGUGUUCAAAGCAGGCUUAUGCCGUUGAAUACAUUAGCAUGGAAUAAUAAGAUAGGACCUUGGUACUAUUUUGUUGGUUUGCGUACCUAGGUAAUGAUUAAUAGGGACAGUUGGGGAUAUUACUAUUUCGUUGUCAGAGGUGAAAUUCUUGGAUUUACGAAAGAGUAACUACUGCGAAAGCAUUUAUCAAGGAUGUUUUCAUUA
Molecule: ribosomal RNA, 385 nt
Filed under: uncultured bolidophyte
Lineage: Eukaryota; Bolidophyceae
Description: SSU rRNA
Rfam family: Eukaryotic small subunit ribosomal RNA
Source: RNAcentral